CGGUACGGGUUACUUCGGUGAUGCGACGACCGGCGCACGGGUGAGUAACGCGUAUGGAACCUACCUACGAGGAGGGUAUAGGUGGGGAAACGGGGAUNAUCCCCCAUAUUAUUAACAAGUGGCAUCGCUUGUUGAUAAAAGCUCCGGCGGUNCAAGAUGGGCAUGCGUGCCAUUAGUUAGUUGGUGAGGUUACGGCUCACCAAGACAACGAUGGCUAGGGGGUCUGAGAGGAUGAUCCCCCACACUGGUACUGAGACACGGACCAGACUCCGUGAGGGAGGCAGCAGUGAGGAAUAUUGGUCAAUGGACGCAAGUCUGAACCAGCCAUGCCGCGUGCAGGAUGAAUGCCCUAUGGGUUGUAAACUGCUUUUCUACAAGAAGAAACUUCCUGAUGUAUCAGGAACUGACGGUAUUGUAGGAAUAAGCAUCGGCUAACUCCGUGCCAGCAGCCGCGGUAAUACGGAGGAUGCAAGCGUUAUCCGGAUUCAUUGGGUUUAAAGGGUGCGUAAGAGGGGUAGUAAGUCAAGUGGUGAAAGCCUGAGGAUUAAACGUAGAAUUGACAUUGAUACUGCUAUUCUUGAGUGCAGAUGAGGUAGGAGGAAUGUGUAAUGUAGCGGUGAAAUUGAUUAGAUAUUACAAAGAACAACGAUAGAGUAGGCAAGCCUUACUAAACUGUAACUGACGCUGAGGCACGAAAGCGUGGGGAGCGAACAGGAUUAGAUACCCUGGUAGUC
Molecule: ribosomal RNA, 734 nt
Filed under: uncultured organism
Description: bacterial SSU rRNA
Rfam family: Bacterial small subunit ribosomal RNA
Source: RNAcentral